AAUUCGAUGCAAUGCGCAGAACCUUACCUGGCCUUGACAUGUCGAGAACUUAGCAGAGAUGCUUUGGUGCCUUCGGGAACUCGAACACAGGUGCUGCAUGGCUGUCGUCAGCUCGUGUCGUGAGAUGUUGGGUUAAGUCCCGCAACGAGCGCAACCCUUGCCAUUAGUUGCUACGAAAGGGCACUCUAAUGGGACUGCCGGUGACAAACCGGAGGAAGGUGGGGAUGACGUCAAGUCCUCAUGGCCCUUAUAGGUGGGGCUACACACGUCAUACAAUGGCUGGUACAGAGGGUUGCCAACCCGCGAGGGGGAGCUAAUCCCAUAAAGCCAGUCGUAGUCCGGAUCGCAGUCUGCAACUCGACUGCGUGAAGUCGGAAUCGCUAGUAAUCGCGGAUCAGAAUGUCGCGGUGAAUACGUUCCCGGGUCUUGUACACACCGCCCGUCACACCAUGGGAGUUGGUUUUACCUGAAGACGGUGCGCUAACCGAAAGGGGGCAGCCGGCCACGGUA
RNAcentral lists this ribosomal RNA (510 nucleotides) under Anophryoides haemophila. Its description in RNAcentral is "partial Bacterial small subunit ribosomal RNA". It matches the Rfam family "Bacterial small subunit ribosomal RNA", at positions 948 to 1464 of the family's 1533-position model. The record is from RNAcentral. Lineage: Eukaryota; Ciliophora; Oligohymenophorea; Philasterida; Glauconematidae.